UACGUAGGGUGCAAGCGUUGUCCGGAAUUAUUGGGCGUAAAGAGCUCGUAGGCGGUCUGUCGCGUCGGAUGUGAAAAACCCCAGGGCUCAACCCUGGGCCUGCAUUCGAUACGGGCAGACUAGAGUUCGGUAGGGGAGACUGGAAUUCCUGGUGUAGCGGUGAAAUGCGCAGAUAUCAGGAGGAACACCGGUGGCGAAGGCGGGGUCUCUGGGGCCGAUACUGACGCUGAGGAGCGAAAAGCGUGGGGGAGC
RNAcentral lists this ribosomal RNA (252 nucleotides) under uncultured bacterium. Its description in RNAcentral is "partial 16S ribosomal RNA". It matches the Rfam family "Bacterial small subunit ribosomal RNA", at positions 524 to 769 of the family's 1533-position model. The record is from RNAcentral.